RNAcentral lists this non-coding RNA (23 nucleotides) under Arabidopsis thaliana (thale cress). The record is from RNAcentral. Lineage: Eukaryota; Viridiplantae; Streptophyta; Magnoliopsida; Brassicales; Brassicaceae.
GGGAUGUUCUGGUUUCUUGCAAU